Molecule: ribosomal RNA, 468 nt
Filed under: uncultured bacterium
Lineage: Bacteria
Description: partial 16S ribosomal RNA
Rfam family: Bacterial small subunit ribosomal RNA
Source: RNAcentral
GACGAACGCUGGCGGCGUGCUUAACACAUGCAAGUCGAACGGAAAGGCCCUGCUUUUGUGGGGUGCUCGAGUGGCGAAUGGGUGAGUAACACGUGAGUAACCUGCCCUUGACUUUGGGAUAACUUCAGGAAACUGGGGCUAAUACCGGAUAGGAGCUCCUGCUGCAUGGAGGGGGUUGGAAAGUUUCGGCGGUUGGGGAUGGACUCGCGGCUUAUCAGCUUGUUGGUGGGGUAGUGGCUUACCAAGGCUUUGACGGGUAGCCGGCCUGAGAGGGUGACCGGCCACAUUGGGACUGAGAUACGGCCCAGACUCCUACGGGAGGCAGCAGUGGGGAAUAUUGCACAAUGGGCGGAAGCCUGAUGCAGCAACGCCGCGUGCGGGAUGACGGCCUUCGGGUUGUAAACCGCUUUCGCCUGUGACGAAGCGUGAGUGACGGUAAUGGGUAAAGAAGCACCGGCUAACUACGUG